RNAcentral lists this unclassified non-coding RNA (352 nucleotides) under soil metagenome. RNAcentral describes it as "partial contains 5.8S ribosomal RNA, internal transcribed spacer 2, and large subunit ribosomal RNA". The stretch from base 1 to 120 matches the Rfam family "5.8S ribosomal RNA", at positions 35 to 154 of the family's 154-position model. The record is from RNAcentral.
GAUGAAGAACGCAGCGAAAUGCGAUAAGUAAUGUGAAUUGCAGAAUUCAGUGAAUCAUCGAAUCUUUGAACGCACAUUGCGCCCGCCAGUAUUCUGGCGGGCAUGCCUGUUCGAGCGUCAUUACAACCCUCAGGCCCCCGGGCCUGGCGUUGGGGAUCGGCAGAAGCCCCCUGUGGGCACACGCCGUCCCUCAAAUACAGUGGCGGUCCCGCCGCAGCUUCCAUUGCGUAGUAGCUAACACCUCGCAACUGGAGAGCGGCGCGGCCAUGCCGUAAAACACCCAACUUCUGAAUGUUGACCUCGAAUCAGGUAGGGAUACCCGCUGAACUUAAGCAUAUCAAUAAGCGGAGGA